AGUGCAUGUGGUGGAUGCCUUGGCAGUCAGAGGCGAUGAAAGACGUGAUAGCCUGCGAAAAGCUCCGGGGAGGCGGCAAAUAUCCUUUGAUCCGGAGAUGUCUGAAUGGGGGAACCCACCUACUUUAAGGUAGGUAUUGCAACAUGAAUACAUAGUGUUGCAAGGCGAACGAGGGGAAGUGAAACAUCUCAGUACCCUUAGGAAAAGAAAUCAAUUGAGAUUCCCUCAGUAGCGGCGAGCGAACGGGGAUCAGCCCAUUAAGUUAUGUGUGUUUUAGUGGAACGCUCUGGGAAGUGCGAACGUAGAGGGUGAUAUUCCCGUACACGAAAGGGCACACAUAAUGAUGACGAGUAGGGCGAGGCACGUGAAACCUUGUCUGAAUAUGGGGGGACCAUCCUCCAAGGCUAAAUACUCCUGACUGACCGAUAGUGAACCAGUACCGUGAGGGAAAGGCGAAAAGAACCCCUGUGAGGGGAGUGAAAUAGAUCCUGAAACCGCAUGCAUACAAGCAGUGGGAGCACCUUCGUGGUGUGACUGCGUACCUUUUGUAUAAUGGGUCAGCGACUUAUAUUCAGUAGCAAGGUUAACCGUAUAGGGGAGCCGUAGAGAAAUCGAGUCUUAAUAGGGCGUUUAGUUGCUGGGUAUAGACCCGAAACCAGGCGAUCUAUCCAUGAGCAGGUUGAAGGUUGGGUAACACUAACUGGAGGACCGAACCCACUGUCGUUGAAAAGCCAGGGGAUGACUUGUGGAUAGGGGUGAAAGGCUAAUCAAGCCUGGUGAUAGCUGGUUCUCCCCGAAAGCUAUUUAGGUAGCGCCUCGGACGAAUACCAUAGGGGGUAGAGCACUGUUUCGGCUAGGGGGUCAUCCCGACUUACCAAACCGAUGCAAACUCCGAAUACCUAUGAGUACUAUCCGGGAGACAGACUGCGGGUGCUAACGUCCGUAGUCAAGAGGAAAACAAUCCAGACCGCCAGCUAAGGCCCCAAAAUCAUAGUUAAGUGGGAAACGAUGUGGGAAGGCAUAGACAGCUAGGAGGUUGGCUUAGAAGCAGCCACCCUUUAAAGAAAGCGUAAUAGCUCACUAGUCGAGUCGGCCUGCGCGGAAGAUGUAACGGGGCUAAAACUAUGUGCCGAAGCUGCGGAUUUGACAUUAGUCAAGUGGUAGGGGAGCGUUCUGUAAGCCGAUGAAGGUGUAUUGAGAAGUNGCUCACUAGUCGAGUCGGCCUGCGCGGAAGAUGUAACGGGGCUAAAACUAUGUGCCGAAGCUGCGGAUGUAUACUUUGUAUACGUGGUAGGGGAGCGUUCUGUAAGCCGAUGAAGGUGUGUUGAGAAGCAUGCUGGAGGUAUCAGAAGUGCGAAUGCUGACGUGAGUAACGACAAAACGGGUGAAAAACCCGUUCGCCGAAAGACCAAGGGUUCCAGUCCAACGUUAAUCGGGGCUGGGUGAGUCGACCCCUAAGGCGAGGCCGAAAGGCGUAGUCGAUGGGAAAAUGGUUAAUAUUCCAUUACUUCUGUGUAAUGCGAUGAGAGGACGGAGAAGGCUAAAUCAGCCUGGCGUUGGUUGUCCAGGUGAAAGGAUGUAGGCAUGUAUCUUAGGCAAAUCCGGGGUACUCUAUGCUGAGAUCUGAUAGCAAGCUGUACUUGUACAGCGAAGUGGUUGAUGCCAUGCUUCCAGGAAAAGUCUCUAAGCUUCAGUUACACAGGAAUCGUACCCGAAACCGACACAGGUGGUCAGGUCGAGUAGACCAAGGCGCUUGAGAGAACUCUGCUGAAGGAACUAGGCAAAAUGGUACCGUAACUUCGGGAGAAGGUACGCUGUUGUUGGUGAUGGAACUCGCUUCCUGAGCUGACGACAGCCGCAGAAACCAGGCCGCUGCAACUGUUUAUUAAAAACAUAGCACUCUGCAAACACGAAAGUGGACGUAUAGGGUGUGAUGCCUGCCCGGUGCUGGAAGGUUAAUUGAUGGGGUUAGCGUAAGCGAAGCUCUUGAUCGAAGCCCCAGUAAACGGCGGCCGUAACUAUAACGGUCCUAAGGUAGCGAAAUUCCUUGUCGGGUAAGUUCCGACCUGCACGAAUGGCAUAAUGAUGGCGGCGCUGUCUCCAGCAGAGGCUCAGUGAAAUCGAAAUCGCUGUGAAGAUGCAGUGUACCCGCGGCUAGACGGAAAGACCCCGUGAACCUUUACUGCAGCUUGACACUGAACUUUGACCUUACUUGUGUAGGAUAGGUGGGAGGCUUUGAAGCUGGAACGCUAGUUCCAGUGGAGCCGUCCUUGAAAUACCACCCUGGUAAUGUUGAGGUUCUAACUCUGUCCCGUGAUCCGGGACGAGGACCGUGUCUGGUGGGUAGUUUGACUGGGGCGGUCUCCUCCUAAAGAGUAACGGAGGAGUACGAAGGUGCGCUCAGCGUGGUCGGAAAUCACGCGUAGAGUAUAAAGGCAAAAGCGCGCUUAACUGCGAGACCCACAAGUCGAGCAGGUACGAAAGUAGGUCUUAGUGAUCCGGUGGUUCUGUAUGGAAGGGCCAUCGCUCAACGGAUAAAAGGUACUCUGGGGAUAACAGGCUGAUACCGCCCAAGAGUUCAUAUCGACGGCGGUGUUUGGCACCUCGAUGUCGGCUCAUCUCAUCCUGGGGCUGAAGCAGGUCCCAAGGGUAUGGCUGUUCGCCAUUUAAAGAGGUACGCGAGCUGGGUUUAGAACGUCGUGAGACAGUUCGGUCCCUAUCUACCGUGGGCGCUGGAAAUUUGAGAGGAUCUGCUCCUAGUACGAGAGGACCAGAGUGGACGAACCUCUGGUGUACCGGUUGUGACGCCAGUCGCAUCGCCGGGUAGCUAUGUUCGGAAGGGAUAACCGCUGAAAGCAUCUAAGCGGGAAGCCUACCUCAAGAUAAGAUUUCCCUAGGACUUUAUGUCCUCUAAAGAGCCGUUCGAGACUAGGACGUUGAUAGGUUGGAUGUGGAAGCAUAGUGAUAUGUGAAGCUGACCAAUACUAAUUGCUCGUGAGGCUUGACU
Molecule: ribosomal RNA, 3007 nt
Filed under: Acinetobacter baumannii
Lineage: Bacteria; Pseudomonadati; Pseudomonadota; Gammaproteobacteria; Moraxellales; Moraxellaceae
Description: bacterial LSU rRNA
Rfam family: Bacterial large subunit ribosomal RNA
Source: RNAcentral